RNAcentral lists this ribosomal RNA (229 nucleotides) under Enterobacter roggenkampii. RNAcentral describes it as "partial 23S ribosomal RNA". It matches the Rfam family "Bacterial large subunit ribosomal RNA", at positions 2086 to 2314 of the family's 2925-position model. The record is from RNAcentral. Lineage: Bacteria; Pseudomonadati; Pseudomonadota; Gammaproteobacteria; Enterobacterales; Enterobacteriaceae.
AGACCCCGUGAACCUUUACUAUAGCUUGACACUGAACACUGGUCCUUGAUGUGUAGGAUAGGUGGGAGGCUUUGAAGUGUGGACGCCAGUCUGCGUGGAGCCGUCCUUGAAAUACCACCCUUUAAUGGCUGGUGUUCUAACGUAGACCCGUAAUCCGGGUUGCGGACAGUGUCUGGUGGGUAGUUUGACUGGGGCGGUCUCCUCCCAAAGAGUAACGGAGGAGCACGAA